AAAGAUCUUGAGGCUUCAUGUUUUCUCAAGGAUGACUGCGUGAAGAUUGAGUGCAAUAUUGGUGUUGUGGUGACAUCGUGCUAUGAUUCUUCCAAGUUAAACAAAAUACAAGUUCCUGAGUCUGAUAUGAGGGAACAAUUCAGCAGCUUGGAGUUCUGGGUAUGAAUAAAUACACGUGAUGUGGAGAAGCAUGUGGAGAAGAAAAGAGGUUGUAGUCCAUGGAAUUAUUUUUGGGAUAGAAACAACAAGGUUGUGGUAAAGUUGCCGCGUGUGUGAGAGAAUUGUUUGGAAGAGGACGUGUGUUAGAGGUGGACAAGUGGCAGAGGAGGUAGAAAAUAGAAGUAUUCUAUAUAAGAAAGGUUGAAAAUGGAGAAGGAAGUAAGAGAAAGAUGGAGCAGGAGAGAAAAAGAUAGAGUGAAUCAGGGAAAGAAAGGCUUGAAGGGAUUCCGAUAGAGGACAGUCCCUACGUGCAAUACAAGGAUAUGGAGCAUUAUAAGCAACAGGGUUAUGGGACGCAGGGCCAUCAAAAACCAAAGACAGGUCGUGGUGCUGGAGCUACUGAAGCACCCACUCUUUCUGGUCUGCACUUUCUUCUUAGUCCCAUGCUACUGCCACUGCUGCAAAUAAUCACAAAGGAUUUCCUUGGUCAUUUCUAUUAUUAAACAUUUUAAA
Non-coding RNA from Vigna umbellata (rice bean), 672 nucleotides. NCBI's taxonomy places the organism in Eukaryota, Viridiplantae, Streptophyta, Magnoliopsida, Fabales, Fabaceae. The record is from RefSeq and is a predicted model, not a curated record.